UACGGGGGGGGCAAGCGUUGUUCGGAAUUACUGGGCGUAAAGGGCUCGUAGGCGGCCAACUAAGUCAUACGUGAAAUCCCUCGGCUUAACCGGGGAACUGCGUCUGAUACUGGAUGGCUUGAGUUCGGGAGAGGGAUGCGGAAUUCCGGGUGUAGUGGUGAAAUGCGUAGAUAUCCGGAGGAACACCAGUGGCGAAGGCGACUUUCUGGCCUGUUCUUGACGCUGAGGCGCGAAAGCUAGGGGAGCAAACGGG
Molecule: ribosomal RNA, 253 nt
Filed under: uncultured bacterium
Lineage: Bacteria
Description: partial 16S ribosomal RNA
Rfam family: Bacterial small subunit ribosomal RNA
Source: RNAcentral